This 447-nucleotide ribosomal RNA is filed under the name uncultured bacterium. RNAcentral's name for it is "partial 16S ribosomal RNA". It matches the Rfam family "Bacterial small subunit ribosomal RNA", at positions 29 to 523 of the family's 1533-position model. The record is from RNAcentral.
AGCGAACGCUGGCGGCAGGCUUAACACAUGCAAGUCGAACGCCCCGCAAGGGGAGUGGCAGACGGGUGAGUAACACGUGGGAACGUACCCUUUGGUUAGGAAUAACUUGGGGAAACUCAAGCUACUACCGGAUAAGCCCUUAUGGGGAAAGGUUUACUGCCGAAGGAUCGGCCCGCGUCUGAUUAGCUAGUUGGUGAGGUAAGGGCUCACCAAGGCGACGAUCAGUAGCUGGUCUGAGAGGAUGAUCAGCCACAAUGGGACUGAGACACGGCCCAGACUCCUACGGGAGGCAGCAGUGGGGAAUAUUGGACAAUGGGGGCAACCCUGAUCCAGCCAUGCCGCGUGAGUGAUGAAGGCCUUAGGGUUGUAAAGCUCUUUUACCCGGGACGAUAAUGACUGUACCGGGAGAAUAAGCACCGGCUAACUUCGUGCCAGCAGCCGCCGUAA